UAGACUGACAAUGGCGGACCCAAAAGCCAUUUUUAGUGACAGCGAUGCUAACCAUAGUAACGACAGUAGCACGCUGGACAAGGAACCAAAGUGUUUGAAAUGUGGAAAAGUACAGAACAUGAUGAAACGUUGCACACGGUGUCGAUCUGCGUUUUACUGUUCCCGGGCCUGUUUUGUGAAACACUGGCCUACCCAUAAAGUCUUUGCCAGGCAGACAACAAGUCAGGAGUAAACAGUGAAGAAGAAGCAUCCAGACUUUACAGUGCGUUGUGUCUGUCAGGAAAUAUCGACAGGACCAGGCUUAAACAGUGGUGAGACAUUUGUGGAAACUUCAUCAUUGGAAGGUCUGAAUGAAGCCAGUCAUACAACUAUACAGAAACAGCAAAGUGCAGCAGAGGUGAUCAUAGUUCUUAAGUUCAUGAAAGAAAAAAAGAAAUUAAUAGUGCAGCAGGACUGGGAAGGGGAGGUUAUCAUUAAAAAGAUAAGUGAUUUUCUCAUGAUUGUGCCGAAUACCAUGCGCCUCAUUUGUAAAGGAAGGCAACUCAGUUAUGCAACAGUGAGAGAAGUUAUUUCCCCUGGAGUUGUUAUGCAAGUGAUUAGGUGAAAAACUACAAGAUGCUUCGGGCUUAAAUCUCAAAGAUGUUGAAGUUAUGAUGACACAAAUGAAACUUACAUGGAAUGAAGCUGUAGGUGCUUUGCGCUUGACCAAUGGAGAUUUGAUUGAUGCUAUGGUAUUGGCUGGAAACAAAGCCUAGUGAUACUUUUUCCUCAUGAUGACUGUUACCAGCUUCUUAGGCAUGCACACUUAUCAGUAGGCAUCAACUGCAUCAUACAAAUUCACAUUCAUUCAUCAUCAUUAAGAUCAUAACUACUCACUAAGUCUCUCUCUCUCUCACACACACACAGGCUGGAGAAAGCCUGAAUACCCAGAGAAACCCUGAACAGUUGGCCCUGUGAGUGUGACCGUUUCUUUAACCAGUUCACCACCAACUUGCCCCAGUUAUAGAGACUAGUCCAUAAUCAUUACCAGUUCCAAGGAUUAAUUGGACUUAGUUGUCCAUAGUCAUACCAGUGCCUAGGGACUGGUGUGUCUUUUUAGCUGGACACGUUUCUAUGGUGUUGCCUGCUGUGCCUGUUGGAAAUAGCAUACCUUGCAUGCUGUAUGAACAGAUUCUUAUGCUUAAAACUGGCAGUCACGCUUGAGGGUCUUGUCUUUACUGUGAUAAAGAGAUUAAGAUUUCAGCCACUUUGACCAGGUCACUGCAUCUCAGAUAUGUUUUUAUUCCAACUAUUAUUGCACACACAAUGUAUGUGUAUAUAUAUAUACACACACAUGAAAACUCUCUUUCAAAGGUAGCAUUUGAAAAACUUGUUCUGCCAUAAAUCAGGAUUUUCAUGAACCACUAAUUUGAUUGAUAUGAGAGGUUUUCUGCUACUUUAUUCUUUUUUUCCAACAGUGACAUAGUUUUCAAGUUUUUCACCCUGAUGAUGUAACUCAUGAGUAGUAACCCAUUGAGCAUCUGUUCUAAGACUUCGUCUGAAGUGAUUGUGAAGUGGUUCAAAUCUUAAUUUGUCAAUUGUUAUAAGAAAACCUUGUUUCCUUGUUGUUGAUGUCAUAUGAAUCAUUUAAGUGUAUUCCCUUGCCUUUGUAUAUUAAGAUGAAUUAUGUAGAACUAAAUAAAAAUUUGUAUAAAUUGGGAAAUUUUUAAAACUGCAGUUAGAUAUAUGAUUGAUGCUAAAACAAAAUGUCCAAACCAUUGCAAGAAAACGAUUGCAUAAAAGAUUGAGACACUGGUGUGUGUGCAUGCAUAUGUGCACACAAGUGUGCAUGGAUCGUAUUUGAUGACCAGUUGGUGAGACAUUGAAAUCUCCCACAAUUAAGGAAUUUGGAUCUUGAUGAGCCCUGACUUUUAAUGUGGAAAUAUUUAUGUCUGAUAUGAAUUGGUUUAAUAAAUACUUUGUUCCAUGAUUGACACUAUGUAAGUGUUUUAGAGUUGGAAGAGUAAGAUAAGAACUUAACUGUAAGCUGUGUGUGACGCAGAUUGUUAAGCUGUGAUUAGCAUUGCAUAUCCCUCUGUACAUGUCUAUGUUGACUCGGUGGUCGGAGGUCCGCAGAUACCUCGCCAUCCGUGUGCCCAAUUCCCUGGGAUCAAUAUCAUGCAUUGAAGAAAAAUGCAAACCAUUGUGAAAGUUUCGCUCGCAUGCGCGUGCACAACUGUACCUUUGCUGAUGUAAAAAGCAAAGGGUUGUGCAGGAAAGCGAUGGAAAUAUAAGUUUCUUCAGUCGAUACGCACAGCGAUAAUGAACUCCUGAUUACCUCGUGCCUCAACUAUCACAAAUCUUUAAAAUCUCUCAGACAGAAACUACACUGCAUUCUUUGAAGUAUAAAACGUCGAUGUCACGAAAUAACAAGUGGAGUAGAGCAGUGGGUUGGUAAGGAGCGGUGUUGCGCUGGCUAUUAUUUCGAGAGAAUAAGGAUUCGCAUACCGCGCAUCUAACAGUGUAGGUCGUUAGGCAGGUGACAACUUUGCAACUUUGUCGGUCUUUAGUGAUUAUAAACCGACGCGGGUGUUCGGGUAUGGCAGGUAAGUUAGUCUCAGGUAAGGAAGGGAUUCCAGAAGCUGGGCGACUGUAAUUGUUUCCAGUUAGCGGCGAUGCGUGAUCGA
Long non-coding RNA from Pomacea canaliculata, 2666 nucleotides. RefSeq lists it as uncharacterized. NCBI's taxonomy places the organism in Eukaryota, Metazoa, Mollusca, Gastropoda, Architaenioglossa, Ampullariidae. The transcript has 4 exons. The record is from RefSeq and is a predicted model, not a curated record.